GCUCAGGCAGCCCCAUGGGGAAAGCGCCAGGAUCUGCCAGGAGUCAGAAGGAGGGGGUGUUUAAGACUUAAUGGAAGUGACCAAAGAAAACCACAGAAACCGGUUCCUGGAAGGAGCUGCCUGCCCUGGUUGCCAGAGCCUAUAGCUGGGUCUAGAAUCUUCCACCCCUGGGUAGAGGCUGCCUACUGGUGUGUGACAAACAUAGCUGGGACAUGGAGUCCCUGCCUCAGGGUCUCUGAAACGUUGUGUGGCCUGAUUUGAUUGUGCAUUUCCUCAGCAGCCCAAGCCAGCAUUUUCUGGGGACAUUUUUGCCUGAUUGUGAAGGUGUUUUCUUAGUGACCACAGAAGUACAUUUUCUCCAGGCUAGGAAAUGAAAGAGGCAAAGUGCUUUAAAGAGGCAAAGUGCUUUAAAGUGUAGGCCUGGCACAGUGGCUUAUGCUUGUAAUCCCAAGACCAGGAGGCCAAGGCAGGAGGAUCGUUUGGGCCCAGGAGUUCAAGACCAGCCUGGGCAAUAUAGUGAGACCCUCAUCUCUACAAAAACUAAAAAAUAAAAAUAAGUAAAAAUAAAUGUUAACACAGAGGAGGCAUAGGCAUCACACAGAGAGGGGUUCGAAUCCCAGUUCCUCCACUUGCAACCUUCAAAAUCACAGACAAAACACUUAUCCUCCAGGAGCUUCCAUCUCCCUGUGUGUCAAAUGUGCGCUGCAAUGUGCUUGACAUGUAAAGAGACCAUCUAUCAGGUGCUAAGGCUACUGCAGCAAAGCACCGCCAACCUGUGGCUGCAGCAACAGACAUUUAUCGCCUCACGCUUCUGGAGGCUGGAAAUCUGAAAUCAGGGUGUAGGCAGGGAUGGUUCCUUCUAAGAGCCAUGAAGAAGAAUUUGCUCCAGGCCUCUCUCCCUGGUUUGCAGAUGGCGGCCUUCUCCCUGUGCCUCUACAUAUCAUGUUCUCUCUAUGCGUGUCUCUGCGUGCAAAUGCACCCUUUUUAUAAGGACAGCUGUCAUUUUGGGUUAUGGCCCACCCUAUUUACUCAUUUUAACUUUAUUACCUCUGUAAAGAACCUGUCUCCAAAUAAAGUCACAUUCUGAGGAAUAGGGGGUUAGCAUUCCAACAUAUAUUUGGGAGGGGGGUGAGCAUAAAUCAACCCCCAACAGGUAAAUGUGGCUUUCUAAAGAAAAUUGUCUUAAAAACCAUAUUUAAAGGAAAUGAAUAUUUGAGUUGUUUCUGUUGUCCAUCCUUUGAGGAAAAUGUCCCUUCUCAUGAAGCUUCCAGAAGGAAGAGGGAAGCACAGAAUGCCUCUUGAGGUCUACGAAUAAGUAAAAUAUGAACUGUAAAUAAAGCAUGUGUCAUGGUUUAAGGGCAGCCGUGGGGCUACAUAAAGUAAUGUGGAAUCUCACAAUCAAUGGCAUGUUGGUUUAGUGAAAUGCAUUUUUUUUCCCAUUCUAUCUUCACAGAUUUCUCUGCUUUUCCAAUUAUCUAAAAAUGAUCUCAUGCCUAUGUUUCCAAUGGCCAAGGGAAUAAUUUAGGAAGGCUAACAGAAUUCCUUCAGAGCAGGCACCUUAAAAUAAUGCCGGCCAAUAGUAAAUGCCAUGUGCAUGUCAACUAUUAAAAUUAUUUAAGGCCGAGGUGGAAGGAUUGGAGUUCAAGACUAGCCAGGGCAACAUAGCGACACCUCAUCUCUACAAAAAAUAAAAGUUAAAAAAAAGUUAGCCAGUGUGGUGGCACAUGCCUGCAAUCUCAGCUACUCAGGAGGCUAAGAUGGGAGGAUCACUAGAGUUGGGGAGGUCGAGGAUGCAGUGAGCCGUGAUUGUACCACUGCACUCCAGCCUGUGCAACAAAGCGAAACUGUUUCUAAAAAAUAAAACUCUCUCCUGCCUCUGCCAGGAGAGAGCUUGUUCCUCCAACCCCAGGAGGCCAGGCAAGCAUGGACAGGAGCCAAGGGAGCAGGGUCAUGAACUUUUUCAUCUUUGCAAAGUGGGCACUUGGCAUCAGGGUCCCAUCACCAGAAAGCACCAAAGCCCCUGG
Molecule: long non-coding RNA, 2024 nt
Filed under: Homo sapiens (human)
Lineage: Eukaryota; Metazoa; Chordata; Mammalia; Primates; Hominidae
Description: HSALNT0262794
Source: RNAcentral